Molecule: ribosomal RNA, 245 nt
Filed under: uncultured bacterium
Lineage: Bacteria
Description: partial 16S ribosomal RNA
Rfam family: Bacterial small subunit ribosomal RNA
Source: RNAcentral
UAACACGUGGGCAACCUGCCUCAUAGAGGGGAAUAGCCUUCCGAAAGGGAGAUUAAUACCGCAUAAGAUUGUAGCUUCGCAUGAAGUAGCAAUUAAAGGAGUAAUCCGCUAUGAGAUGGGCCCGCGGCGCAUUAGCUAGUUGGUGAGGUAACGGCUCACCAAGGCGACGAUGCGUAGCCGACCUGAGAGGGUGAUCGGCCACAUUGGGACUGAGACACGGCCCAGACUCCUACGGAAGGCAGCAG